Molecule: ribosomal RNA, 277 nt
Filed under: uncultured bacterium
Lineage: Bacteria
Description: partial 16S ribosomal RNA
Rfam family: Bacterial small subunit ribosomal RNA
Source: RNAcentral
AACGAACGCUGGCGGCAGGCCUAACACAUGCAAGUCGAACGCUCCAGCAAUGGAGAGUGGCAGACGGGUGAGUAACGCGUGGGAACCUUCCCUAUGGUUCGGAAUAGCUCAGGGAAACUUGAGGUAAUACCGGAUAAGCCCUUCGGGGAAGGAUUAUCGCCAUUGGAUGGGCCCGCCGUAGGAUUAGCUAGUUGGUGGAGGUAACGGGCUCACCAAGGCGACGAUCCUUAGCUGGUCUGAGAGGAUGAUCAGCCACACUGGGACUGAGACACGGCCC